This 445-nucleotide ribosomal RNA is filed under the name uncultured bacterium. RNAcentral's name for it is "partial 16S ribosomal RNA". It matches the Rfam family "Bacterial small subunit ribosomal RNA", at positions 354 to 796 of the family's 1533-position model. The record is from RNAcentral.
GUAGGGAAUAUUGGGCAAUGGAUGCAAGUCUGACCCAGCCAUCCCGCGUGCCGGAAGAAGGCCCUCAGGGUUGUAAACGGCUUUUGACGGUGAAGAAUCGACAGGAUGCGUCCUGUUUUGACGGUAGCCGUUGAAUAAGCACCGGCUAACUCCGUGCCAGCAGCCGCGGUAAUACGGAGGGUGCGAGCGUUGUCCGGAUUUAUUGGGUUUAAAGGGUGCGUAGGCUGGAAGGUCAGUCAGCGGUGAAAAGCUGUCCCUUAACGAUAGUCUUGGCGCAGAUACUUCCUUUCUUGGAUGAGGAGGAGGCCACUGGAACGGAUGGUGUAGCGGUGAAAUGCAUAGAUAUCAUCCAGAACACCGAUUGCGAAGGCAGGUGGCUGUACCUUAAUCGACGCUGAUGCACGAAAGCAUGGGGAGCAAACAGGAUUAGAAACCCCGGUAGUCC